RNAcentral lists this ribosomal RNA (325 nucleotides) under uncultured eukaryote. Its description in RNAcentral is "partial 18S ribosomal RNA". It matches the Rfam family "Eukaryotic small subunit ribosomal RNA", at positions 1470 to 1796 of the family's 1831-position model. The record is from RNAcentral.
CCCUUAGAUGUUCUGGGCUGCACGCGUGCUACACUGAUAUUGCCAAUAUGUCAUUCUUAUCCGAAAUGGAUUGGGUAAUCAAGUAAUGAAAUUUCAUGCUUGGAAUCGGUAAUUGCAAUUUUAUCGUGAACGAGGAAUUCCUAGUAAGCACUAGUCAUCAGCUAAUGUUGAUUAUGUCCCUGCCCUUUGUACACACCGCCCGUCGCACCUACCGAUUGAAUGACUCGGUGAAAAAUCGGGACUGUGGUCUAGCUUGCUUAAUUGCAAACUUGACUGUGGGAACUUUCUUUAACCUAUUCAUUUAGAGGAAGGUGAAGUCGUAACA